RNAcentral lists this long non-coding RNA (272 nucleotides) under Equus caballus (horse). Its description in RNAcentral is "lncRNA (ENSECAG00000046145.1)". Lineage: Eukaryota; Metazoa; Chordata; Mammalia; Perissodactyla; Equidae. The record is from RNAcentral.
AGCAUCACAGAGCGGGAAAAGGCAGUACUGGACCAGAACCCAGAACCUAGCACUUUCGACUCUGCAGGUGCACGUGUUCAGAGCCCUCAAGAUAAAACGUCUGAGGCACAGAGAUGCUACCUGACUUGGAAACUUACCGGCGGGCGGUGGAAUCAACCCAGCUGUGAUUCGAACCCAGGCCGCCCCGCCCCCUACCAGCUACACAGGCCUGCCCUGGGAAAGGCAGCUGGGCUCAACCCUGGGGCCGUCCUGUCUCUGUUCUGUCGAUGCCC